This 499-nucleotide long non-coding RNA is filed under the name Elaeis guineensis (African oil palm). RNAcentral's name for it is "long non-coding RNA (EGUI_LNC014181)". Lineage: Eukaryota; Viridiplantae; Streptophyta; Magnoliopsida; Arecales; Arecaceae. The record is from RNAcentral.
UCAGAUCUUUAUUAUAAUAUAAAAGAGGAAUACAAAAGAUCAUGCAAAAGUAAACAAACUAUCGGAACAAUUUCAGCGAUCUCCUGAGAUGUGAUGACUAGCCAGCCAUGGGAAAGUUCUUCACCAUAACUUGCAUCCUAAUCUCUGGAGAAUUUUUGUCACAGAUUUGGAGAAGAUCUUCAGUAGUAAGAGAAAGAGAUUUGGUGGAGACUAGGUUGAGAAAAGUGAAUUUUAGAAGAGAGAAAAGGAAGGGACAGGUUGCUAGAAUUUUUGUAGAAGAAGAAAGAAGGCUAAAGUUAGGAGGCUUGGGUGUGGGGUUUCUUUGAAGUUUUGGAUGUGGGCUUCCAAGGUUUAAAGGGGAAGGAACUAAAGUUUAGAUGGCUGGAUUAUGAAAGAAAAAUAACCUAAGGCCAGCUAGGGUUUGGAGAUGGAAGAUGGGCAUGGAGAUGUGGAAGAAGGGGGAGAUUUUUAUGGCUUGGUGUUGGCUGGUUGUGUUUAG